AGAGUUUGAUUCUGGCUCAGGAUGAACGCUGGCGGCGUGCUUAACACAUGCAAGUCGAACGAAGCAACCAUGAAGCCUAGCGAUUGGUUGACUGAGUGGCGGACGGGUGAGUAACGCGUGGGUAACCUGCCUCAUACAGGGGGACAACAGUUAGAAAUGACUGCUAAUACCGCAUAACCCGCUAGGGCCGCAUGGCCCGGACGGAAAAGGAGCAAUCCGGUAUGAGAUGGACCCGCGUCUGAUUAGCUGGUUGGUGGGGUAACGGCCUACCAAGGCAACGAUCAGUAGCCGAACUGAGAGGUUGACCGGCCACAUUGGGACUGAGACACGGCCCAA
This 336-nucleotide ribosomal RNA is filed under the name uncultured bacterium. RNAcentral describes it as "bacterial SSU rRNA". It matches the Rfam family "Bacterial small subunit ribosomal RNA", at positions 8 to 334 of the family's 1533-position model. The record is from RNAcentral.